RNAcentral lists this ribosomal RNA (971 nucleotides) under bacterium enrichment culture clone ZZ_H6. RNAcentral describes it as "bacterial SSU rRNA". It matches the Rfam family "Bacterial small subunit ribosomal RNA", at positions 508 to 1482 of the family's 1533-position model. The record is from RNAcentral.
CCAGCAGCCGCGGUAAUACGNAGGGUGCNAGCGUUANUCGGAAUCNCUGGGCGUAAAGGAUGCGUAGGCUGGAAAUCAAGUCGAGAGUGAAAUCCAACGGCUUANCCGUUGAACUGCUCUCGAAACUGGUUACCUAGNAUAUGGGAGAGGUAGAUGGAAUUGGUGGUGUAGGGGUAAAAUCCGUAGAUAUCACCAGGAAUACCGAUUGCGAAGGCGAUCUACUGGGACAUUAUUGACGCUGAGGCAUGAAAGCGUGGGGAGCAAACAGGAUUAGAUACCCUGGUAGUCCACGCCCUAAACGAUGCACACUAGUUGUUGCGAUGCUAGUCAUUGCAGUAAUGCACUUAACAGAUUAAGUGUGCCGCCUGGGGAGUACGGUCGCAAGAUUAAAACUCAAAGGAAUAGACGGGGACCCGCACAAGCGGUGGAGCAUGUGGUUUAAUUCGAAGAUACACGAAGAACCUUACCUGGCCUUGAUAUCCUAAGAAUCCUGUAGAGAUACGGGAGUGCUAGUUUACUAGAACUUAGAGACAGGUGCUGCACGGCUGUCGUCAGCUCGUGUCGUGAGAUGUUGGGUUAAGUCCCGCAACGAGCGCAACCCUCGUGAUUAGUUGCUAACAGUUCGGCUGAGCACUCUAAUCAGACUGCCUUCGUAAGGAGGAGGAAGGUGAGGACGACGUCAAGUCAUCAUGGCCCUUAUGGCCAGGGCUACACACGUGCUACAAUGGCUAGGACAAAGAGACGCGAUACUGCGAAGUGGAGCAAAUCUUAAAACCUAGUCUCAGUUCGGAUUGGAGUCUGCAACUCGACUCCAUGAAGCUGGAAUCGCUAGUAAUCGUAGAUCAGAUAUGCUACGGUGAAUACGUUCCCGGGUCUUGUACUCACCGCCCGUCACACCAUGGGAGUUGAAUUCACCCGAAGCCGGAAUACUAAACUAGUUACCGACCACGGUGGGUUCAGCGACUGGGGUG